ACUGCUCCGGGCUCUGGCAUGUUGGCACUCUGGCACAUUCCAAGGUAGACAUUGUGGUUUUUUCGGCAUUCCGGCCAAAAAACAUGCCUAACCCUGCAUUACAUUAUACAUUA
Molecule: long non-coding RNA, 113 nt
Organism: Gavialis gangeticus (Gharial)
Lineage: Eukaryota; Metazoa; Chordata; Crocodylia; Gavialidae
Exons: 3
Source: RefSeq, a predicted model, not a curated record